AUGAAGAUCACAUAAAAAUAUUUGAAAAAAUCAGAAGUAUGGAUUACAAUAUGGGACAACAUCCCUAAUGCGCCUUGAAAUGAGGAACUCAAAAGUCACGUGUAAAGAAAAAAUCUCUGUGUAGUGAUAUUGGACAUGUUUCUAUUUUUAGCAAAUGACUGAACUUAAUUAUUUGUGGUGAUUAGGAAAGUAGAGGAACAUAGAAUAAAUGUGUAAAAACUAUGGAGCUAUUGAAUGUGUUUAAAGUAUUAAAUUUUCAAAGAACUUAUUGUGUUAAAAAGGGGAUAUUUUACCACAAGGAGCCGCAUCACAACAGGAUGUUCGGGGUUUGCUAAUUUACGGAAAAAGUAAUCUCACUUCGUACCCCGAAAAUUUAACCACAUAUGUGAAAAUGUCACAGCUUCGAAACAAGCUAUCAUACAUAUCCAAGUUAACGAUAUGGACUGAGCUACAGGAAAAAACGUUACCAUUACCGCCUAUGUAAAAACAAUUAAAGAUUUUGACCCAAAUUAGAAGCUCAAUUCCAGAGGUUGUCAGACUGAUUUAUGGAUGAUUUCACCUUGUACACCACCCAAAAUGAUGUUCCAGACAUAUCAUUAUUUUUCAACCUGAGAUGGCAAACUAGAGGUUUUAAAAAGUCCUGAAUAACUGAAAUGGACAAAAAUACAAAGAUUUAUUCAGAAUAUUAUACCGAUGAAGAUCACAUAAAAAUAUUUGGAAAAAUCAGAAGUAUGGAUUACAAAUUAGAAGCUCAAUUCCAGAGGUUGUCAGACUGAUUUAUGGAUGAUUUCACCUUGUACACCACCCAAAAUGAUGUUCCAGACAUAUCAUUAUUUUUCAACCUGAGAUGGCAAACUAGAGGUUUUAAAAAGUCCUGAAUAACUGAAAUGGACAAAAAUACAAAGAUUUAUUCAGAAUAUUAUACCGAUGAAGAUCACAUAAAAAUAUUUGGAAAAAUCAGAAGUAUGGAUUACAAUAUGGGACAACAUCCCUAAUGCGCCUUGAAAUGAGGAACUCAAAAGUCACGUGUAAAGAAAAAAUCUCUGUGUAGUGAUAUUGGACAUGUUUCUAUUUUUAGCAAAUGACUGAACUUAAUUAUUUGUGGUGAUUAGGAAAGAAGAGGAACAUAGAAUAAAUGUGUAAAAACUAUGGAGCUAUUGAAUGUGUUUAAAGUAUUAAAUUUUCAAAGAACUUAUUGUGUUAAAAAGGGGAUAUUUUACCACAAGGAGCCGCAUCACAACAGGAUGUUCGGGGUUUGCUAAUUUACGGAAAAAGUAAUCUCACUUCGUACCCCGAAAAUUUAACCACAUAUGUGAAAAUGUCACAGCUUCGAAACAAGCUAUCAAACAUAUCCAAGUUAACGAUAUGGACUGAGCUACAGGAAAAAA
This is a long non-coding RNA of Mytilus trossulus (common blue mussel), 1388 nucleotides long. RefSeq lists it as uncharacterized. The transcript has 5 exons. The record is from RefSeq and is a predicted model, not a curated record. Lineage: Eukaryota; Metazoa; Mollusca; Bivalvia; Mytilida; Mytilidae.